This 429-nucleotide ribosomal RNA is filed under the name Verrucomicrobiota bacterium. Its description in RNAcentral is "Verrucomicrobia bacterium partial 16S ribosomal RNA". It matches the Rfam family "Bacterial small subunit ribosomal RNA", at positions 355 to 776 of the family's 1533-position model. The record is from RNAcentral. Lineage: Bacteria; Pseudomonadati; Verrucomicrobiota.
UAGGGAAUCUUCCGCAAUGGACGAAAGUCUGACGGAGCAACGCCGCGUGAGUGAAGAAGGAUUUCGGUUCGUAAAACUCUGUUGUUAGGGAAGAAAAAAUGUAUAGUAACUAUAUACAAAAGAGACGGUACCUAACCAGAAAGCCACGGCUAACUACGUGCCAGCAGCCGCGGUAAUACGUAGGUGGCAAGCGUUGUCCGGAAUUAUUGGGCGUAAAGCGCGCGCAGGUGGUUUAGAAAGUCUGAUGUGAAAGCCCACGGCUCAACCGUGGAGGGUCAUUGGAAACUAAUAAACUUAAGUGCAGGAGAGAAAAGUGGAAUUCCUAGGGUAGCGGUGAAAUGCGUAGAGAUUAGGAGGAACACCGGUGGCGAAAGCGGCUUUUUGGCCUGCAACUGACACUGAGGCGCGAAAGCGUGGGGAGCAAACAGG